UUACACAGGUGCUGCAUGGCUGUCGUCAGCUCGUGUCGUGAGAUGUCGGUUAAGUCCGCUAACGAGCGCAACCCUCACUGUGUGUUACAGUGUGUCACACGGGACUGCCGGUUUUAAGCCGGAGGAAGGCGAGGAUGACGUCAAGUCAGCAUGGCCUUUAUAUCUUGGGCUACACACACGCUACAAUGGUCUGUACAAUAGGUUGCCAAGCCGCGAGGCGGAGCCAAUCCUUAAAGCAGGCCUCAGUUCAGAUUGCAGGCUGCAACCCGCCUGCAUGAAGAUGGAGUUGCUAGUAACCGCAGGUCAGCUAUACUGCGGUGAAUACGUUCCCGGGUCUU
RNAcentral lists this ribosomal RNA (338 nucleotides) under uncultured Anaerolineaceae bacterium. RNAcentral's name for it is "bacterial SSU rRNA". It matches the Rfam family "Bacterial small subunit ribosomal RNA", at positions 1030 to 1382 of the family's 1533-position model. Lineage: Bacteria; Bacillati; Chloroflexota; Anaerolineae; Anaerolineales; Anaerolineaceae. The record is from RNAcentral.